RNAcentral lists this long non-coding RNA (381 nucleotides) under Nicotiana benthamiana. Its description in RNAcentral is "long non-coding RNA (NBEN_LNC017078)". Lineage: Eukaryota; Viridiplantae; Streptophyta; Magnoliopsida; Solanales; Solanaceae. The record is from RNAcentral.
UUCUCUCUUCUACAUUUCGGAUCUUCUUCUUCAAUUCCUUUCUCUUCUUCUCUUCUAACUCCUAAUCUCUCAAUUUUUAGGUUGAGCUUAAUCAUGGAGUGCAAUUUGAAUUCUUUCUCAGAUUGUAAUUGUACAAUGUAGUUCAGUUUGAGCUCAAUCAAUAAAAACUUUGUUACUCAAAUUUCAUACUGUUUUAAGUAAUUUUGGUGUUCAAUUUUACAAGUUCAUUACAAUUGGUAUCAGAGCCAAUUCUUGGCCACAUUCACGAUAACAAGUGCAUAAACUAGAUCGAAAACUACAGACGAGUCGGUUAAGAAGUUGGAAGCAGUGUACAUAUCUAGUGGGUUGGCCAUAUUCCUCGAUCUAGUUUUGACACUAAAC